ACUCAUAUGAAUGUGCAUCCAUUCUAAAUAAUUAUAAGUCGAGAGACAAAGAAUUUCGAAUUGAAUGAAUUCGUAUUCGUUACUGUCCUAUUUAUGUUAUUUGUCGAGAUUGGUCUGUAAGAACCAUCGAGUCUUCGUCUCACUCGUAUCAAAUCCUAGCAACUCUAAUGCUCGUGCAAUUAAUUUAGCUUCUAAACCUCAUGAACUCAAACUCAUUAGUUCGCUCUGGAUCUUCUCAAUUCAUCUUUCAGCUUCAUUGCUCUAAAAGCAAGCCUUGAAUGAAUUUCGAAAUUGCUUUACUUAAUGGGAGAGAACAUCGGGCUUGGUUCCGUACUCCCUCAAUCCAAGAAGGAACUCCACAAGCAAGGAACCAUGCAUGACUUUCCGAGCAUAUUAGCGAAAAGGCUCAUACAGAGGCAAGGAGGCCAAAAGCUUUCUUUAUUUGUUAGCUUCCCGAAGAGAGGAGAUGCGUCUUCGAAUCAACCCUUGAACCUAAACCUCGGAA
RNAcentral lists this long non-coding RNA (505 nucleotides) under Trifolium pratense (red clover). RNAcentral's name for it is "long non-coding RNA (TPRA_LNC010236)". Lineage: Eukaryota; Viridiplantae; Streptophyta; Magnoliopsida; Fabales; Fabaceae. The record is from RNAcentral.